UGUGUGUAUCUAUGUCUGUCAGUGUGUCUGUGUGUAUCUAUGUCUGUCAGUGUGUCUGUGUGUAUCUAUGUCUGUCAGUGUGUGUGUGUGUAUCUAUGUCUGUCAGUGUGUGUGUGUGUGUAUCUAUGUCUGUCAGUGUGUGUGUGUGUAUGUCUGUCAGUGUGUGUGUGUGUAUGUCUGUCAGUGUGUCUGUGUGUAUCUGUGUCUGUCAGUGUGUGU
Non-coding RNA from Pelobates cultripes (western spadefoot toad), 219 nucleotides. Lineage: Eukaryota; Metazoa; Chordata; Amphibia; Anura; Pelobatidae. The record is from the annotation of a GenBank genome assembly.